This 599-nucleotide ribosomal RNA is filed under the name Aspergillus sp. BAB-3278. RNAcentral describes it as "eukaryotic LSU rRNA". The stretch from base 185 to 338 matches the Rfam family "5.8S ribosomal RNA". Lineage: Eukaryota; Fungi; Ascomycota; Eurotiomycetes; Eurotiales; Aspergillaceae. The record is from RNAcentral.
UCCGUAGGUGAACCUGCGGAAGGAUCAUUACCGAGUGCGGGCUGCCUCCGGGCGCCCAACCUCCCACCCGUGACUACCUAACACUGUUGCUUCGGCGGGGAGCCCCCUAGGGGCGAGCCGCCGGGGACCACUGAACUUCAUGCCUGAGAGUGAUGCAGUCUGAGCCUGAAUACAAAUCAGUCAAAACUUUCAACAAUGGAUCUCUUGGUUCCGGCAUCGAUGAAGAACGCAGCGAACUGCGAUAAGUAAUGUGAAUUGCAGAAUUCAGUGAAUCAUCGAGUCUUUGAACGCACAUUGCGCCCCCUGGCAUUCCGGGGGGCAUGCCUGUCCGAGCGUCAUUGCUGCCCUCAAGCCCGGCUUGUGUGUUGGGUCGUCGUCCCCCCCGGGGGACGGGCCCGAAAGGCAGCGGCGGCACCGUGUCCGGUCCUCGAGCGUAUGGGGCUUUGUCACCCGCUCGAUUAGGGCCGGCCGGGCGCCAGCCGGCGUCUCCAACCUUAUUUUUCUCAGGAUUGACCUCGGAUCAGGUAGGGAUACCCGCUGAACUUAAGCAUAUCAAUAAGCGGAGGAAAAGAAACCAACCGGGAUUGCCUCAGUAACUG